RNAcentral lists this unclassified non-coding RNA (345 nucleotides) under soil metagenome. RNAcentral's name for it is "partial contains 5.8S ribosomal RNA, internal transcribed spacer 2, and large subunit ribosomal RNA". The stretch from base 1 to 120 matches the Rfam family "5.8S ribosomal RNA", at positions 35 to 154 of the family's 154-position model. The record is from RNAcentral.
GAUGAAGAACGCAGCGAAAUGCGAUACGUAAUGUGAAUUGCAGAAUUCAGUGAAUCAUCGAGUCUUUGAACGCACAUUGCGCCCCCUGGUAUUCCGGGGGGCAUGCCUGUCCGAGCGUCAUUGCUGCCCUCAAGCACGGCUUGUGUGUUGGGCCUCCGUCCUCCUCCCGGGGGACGGGCCCGAAAGGCAGCGGCGGCACCGCGUCCGGUCCUCGAGCGUAUGGGGCUUCGUCACCCGCUCUUGUAGGCCCGGCCGGCGCUUGCCGACACAUCAAUCUUUUUUCCAGGUUGACCUCGGAUCAGGUAGGGAUACCCGCUGAACCUAAGCAUAUCAAUAAGCGGAGGA